AACGAACGCUGGCGGCAGGCCUAACACAUGCAAGUCGAGCGCCCCGCAAGGGGAGCGGCGGACGGGUGAGUAACGCGUGGGAAUAUGCCCUUUGCUACGGAAUAGUCUCGGGGAACUGGGGGUAAUACCGUAUACGCCCUUUGGGGGAAAGAUUUAUCGGCGAAGGAUUAGCCCGCGUUGGAUUAGGUAGUUGGUGGGGUAAUGGCCUACCAAGCCGACGAUCCAUAGCUGGUUUGAGAGGAUGAUCAGCCACACUGGGACUGAGACACGGCCCAGACUCCUACGGGAGGCAGCAGUGGGGAAUCUUAGACAAUGGGGGCAACCCUGAUCUAGCCAUGCCGCGUGAGUGAUGAAGGCCUUAGGGUUGUAAAGCUCUUUCAGCUGGGAAGAUAAUGACGGUACCAGCAGAAGAAGCCCCGGCUAACUCCGUG
RNAcentral lists this ribosomal RNA (431 nucleotides) under uncultured bacterium. Its description in RNAcentral is "partial 16S ribosomal RNA". It matches the Rfam family "Bacterial small subunit ribosomal RNA", at positions 29 to 507 of the family's 1533-position model. The record is from RNAcentral.